This 573-nucleotide ribosomal RNA is filed under the name Triticum aestivum (bread wheat). RNAcentral's name for it is "partial small subunit ribosomal RNA". The record is from RNAcentral. Lineage: Eukaryota; Viridiplantae; Streptophyta; Magnoliopsida; Poales; Poaceae.
AUGAAAAGGAACAAAGUCAAGAAAAAUCAGUCAUGUGCUCUCAAGCUUGAUAUGAUGAAAGCAUAUGAUAGGGUGGAGUGGCCUUACCUAAGGGCAAUAUUGAUAAAGCUGGGUUUUACAAACCGGUGGGUUGAUAUUGUGAUGAGCUUGGUCACCACAGUCAAGUUUUCUGUGUUGUUUAAUGGAAAGAAGCUACAACAAUUUAUUCCUUCAAGAGGUAUCAGACAAGGGGACCCGAUAUCUCCAUACUUGUUCUUGCUGGCAGCAAAGGGCCUUUCGUGCCUGUUAGAAUCUGAAAGUGAGUCAUCCAAUUUGCAUGGACUACAGGUAGCUCCUAUGGCGCCACCAGUAAGUCAUCUUCUAUUUGCUGAUGACAGCCUGCUGUUCUUCAAGGCUAACAGUGUGGGGGCAACUGAGGUGCACCAUGUACUGGACACUUACUGUCAAGCGACUGGGCAGCGUAUCAACUACUCAAAAUCAUCAAUUUAUUUUAGCAAGGGGGUGCCUGAGUCGGUCAGACAAGAGAUCAAAGAAACACUUAACGUUCCCAAUGAAACACUUAAUGAGAAGUAG